CUUUUGAAGACCCUAUUUUCAACCUAAUACCCUAAUCUCACUCCAGCAUUACAAAGACAAAGCUCUCUCACUGCACCACUAUUGCAAAAACGCAUGAAGCUCUCUCACUGCACCACUGCUGCAAAAACUCUGGCGUCCGUUUCUUCUUGAAGCUGUAGGGAAUUUUAUCCCGCUCACCGAUAUACCGCCGGCCAGUAAAAUCGUCAUUCCACCGUCUUGAUCGACAGCCCACCAAAUACCUCUUUCGUCUUUCGUAACAAAAAAGAAGGUGACAUAUUUUUGAUUUCUCUACCAUUUAAUUUUUUACACUUGACGUCCGGCCAACGGUCUUGUACGGCUUAGGUUGUCUGGCCAUUUUUUCUGUUCGAGAGUUUUGUUAUCAAUUUCAAAUUUGAAAAUUGUGUGGGUUGGUCGUCAAUAGUAAAGGGAAAUGUAGUUUUCCAAUCUAGAUUGUUAUCAAUUUCAAAAUAGUAUGGGUUGUUAUCAAUUUCAAAUUUCAAAAAUUCAAGAGUUUUGUUACUCUUCUGGAUUUCUAAAGUGAUGAAAGCAAGAUUGCAUUACACAAUCGUCUUUAGCUAUAGUUUGCAUCUUUUUCUCGUUUAAUUGCCAGGAAUAAUAGUGAACGGAAAUGUAGUUUUCCAAUCUGCCGACCAGAUGUUUGAUGAAAUGCCCGAAUAGAAAAUUUCUUGUAACUUCAAAUGCUGAAUUCAACUAAAAAAAUAUGAGAUAUCCACAAAAAGGCAAAUCAAGUUUGAGUGUGGUCAUGCUUCUUAAUUGGGUUAAUAUUCUUAGCCAACGUUUUGAACUUAAACUAGUGGCACUGCAAUGUUGGUUUCAAGCAUUUGUUCAAUUGGAAUCCUUCCACUGAAAUUAAGAUGGAAUUUCGUUGAUAUGGUCAGACCUUUUAGGUCUUCUUAUUGCAAUGAAAAAUGCUACUUGAUUCUGAUUAAUGCUACUUGAUUCUGAUUGUAAUGAAAAUGUCUUAAUUGGGUUUAUAUUCUUAUUACAAAUUUAAAUUUCUGUCACGUUGAUGUGAUCCUUUCACAUUGUUCAACUAAAUUAGUUCGAUGGCAAUCAAGAAUAAGGAAAUUUGUCAAUGUUGUAGACAGGUAGGACAUAUGUUGUCGGAGUGCCCAAAAAAAAGAAGAUGCCCAAACUGUGGUGCAGGCUUUAUCAAAUGAAUGGAGGUGGAAAAGAACAAUGAACAUAAAGGAUUGUUGUUUCAUUGUUGUACCCGCGAUUGCAAGUAUUUCAAAUGGUGUAAGAAAUUUAUGGAUGAAAAAUGUGAAUUGCAUGACGACGGUGAAUCAAGUGUCACUUUAAAAGGAGGUGAGCUUGUUGCGGAGUUGUCGCAUAUGUUGAAAAUGCUUGCUAAGCUGACGGAGGAAAAAGACUUGGAGAUUUCCCUCAACAUCAACAUGCGUAAGGGAAAACAAGAGUCCGAAGAUUUUAUCUAAACUUAGAUGUAAUUCUACUCUAUGCAAUACGAUAUUGUGGAUGUAAUGAAGUCGUUGAGUCUUAUGAUUUUGUUCGUGUACAUAUUUGUUCGUCUCUAGUGUCUUUGUUAGCUGCCGUGGGUGUUAUGAAUCUACUUCCCUCGUGCAAGGCAAGUAGAAUUGUGCUCAACUAUUAGGUCCAUUUAAAAAUCAUGAAUUAGGAUUGGUUGCAAUGUGGGUUAUGUUCUUAUGGUGAAAUAUUGUUGUGUACCAACUGUUUUCUCCAAAUUUUUGCCCUCGAAAACAUUAUGCAUAUAAUUUAUCGUGCUUAUUAUUAAUUACAAGUAAAAAUAGC
This 1791-nucleotide long non-coding RNA is filed under the name Olea europaea subsp. europaea. The record is from RNAcentral. Lineage: Eukaryota; Viridiplantae; Streptophyta; Magnoliopsida; Lamiales; Oleaceae.